Molecule: long non-coding RNA, 376 nt
Organism: Bos taurus (domestic cattle)
Lineage: Eukaryota; Metazoa; Chordata; Mammalia; Artiodactyla; Bovidae
Source: Ensembl
CCUUCUGGAGGACUAGGGGCUGUGGCAUAAGAACUCCCCUCUCUCUCCCAGCCUGGCUGGGAGCCUGCUAGCCCGCAGCUUCCAGGGAAGCACUUCUGAGUCACAACAGCGUGAGCCUCUGUGUGUUAGCCUGUGUGAGUAUGAAAUCUGUGUCUGCAGGGAUGUGGAAACACACACAGCUCUCAAACACAGCCCUGUCCAGGACGCAGACAUUCUUCCAGCCUGUCCAAGAGCUCCUCAGAGCGGGAUGUCCAAGUCGAGGGCCUCUGCCCAAGCUUGUCCAGAGUGAGGGAUGGGAGAGCCAGGAAUCAGGGAAGACAUCUCCCCAACGAAGCCACACCUUCGCCACACCCCCGGCCCUUCCCCUGCUUUGGCU